Molecule: transfer RNA, 73 nt
Filed under: Larix sibirica
Lineage: Eukaryota; Viridiplantae; Streptophyta; Pinopsida; Pinales; Pinaceae
Description: tRNA-Leu
Rfam family: tRNA
About the family: Transfer RNA (tRNA) molecules are approximately 80 nucleotides in length. Their secondary structure includes four short double-helical elements and three loops (D, anti-codon, and T loops). Further hydrogen bonds mediate the characteristic L-shaped molecular structure. tRNAs have two regions of fundamental functional importance: the anti-codon, which is responsible for specific mRNA codon recognition, and the 3' end, to which the tRNAs corresponding amino acid is attached (by aminoacyl-tRNA synthetases). tRNAs cope with the degeneracy of the genetic code in two manners: having more than one tRNA (with a specific anti-codon) for a particular amino acid; and 'wobble' base-pairing, i.e. permitting non-standard base-pairing at the 3rd anti-codon position.
Source: RNAcentral
GCUGGGAUAUUGAAACGGUCAUAAUAAAACUUUCAGACAGUUUUUGUAAUGGUUCGAUUCCAUUUCUCAGCUC